Molecule: ribosomal RNA, 325 nt
Filed under: uncultured eukaryote
Lineage: Eukaryota
Description: partial 18S ribosomal RNA
Rfam family: Eukaryotic small subunit ribosomal RNA
Source: RNAcentral
CCCUUAGAUGUUCUGGGCCGCACGCGCGCUACACUGAUGCAUUCAACGAGCCUAUCCCUGACCGACAGGUCCGGGUAAUCUUUGAAUCUGCAUCGUGACGGGGAUAGAUUAUUGCAAUUAUUAAUCUUCAACGAGGAAUGCCUAGUAGGCGCAAGUCAUCAGCUUGCGUCGAUUACGUCCCUGCCCUUUGUACACACCGCCCGUCGCUCCUACCGAUUGGGUGUGCUGGUGAAAUGUUCGGAUCGGCCGUUUGUCGCGGUUUCCGCGUCAUGUGGCUGAGAAGUUCAUUAACCCCUCCCACCUAGAGGAAGGAGAAGUCGUAACA